GCCUCCCUCCGCCGCCACUCAGACUCCUACCGGAGGACAGCAGUGGGAAGUUUGUCGCAAUGGGGAAACCGUACGACGCAGCAACGCCGCCGUGGAGGAUGAAGUCCUUCGGACGUAACUCCUUUCGAUCGGGACGAUAAUGACGGUACCGGAAGAAGAAGCCCGGCUACUUCGUGCCGGCAGCCGCGGUAAUAC
This 195-nucleotide ribosomal RNA is filed under the name uncultured bacterium. Its description in RNAcentral is "partial 16S ribosomal RNA". It matches the Rfam family "Bacterial small subunit ribosomal RNA", at positions 307 to 526 of the family's 1533-position model. The record is from RNAcentral.